GCGCUGUUAGCUCAACUGGAUAGAGCAUUCGGCUACGAACCGAAAGGCUGCAGGUUCAACUCCUGCACAGCGCG
This 74-nucleotide transfer RNA is filed under the name Elusimicrobia bacterium A5. RNAcentral's name for it is "tRNA-Arg". It matches the Rfam family "tRNA". Rfam says of the family: Transfer RNA (tRNA) molecules are approximately 80 nucleotides in length. The record is from RNAcentral. Lineage: Bacteria; Pseudomonadati; Elusimicrobiota.